GCUGAUGUUGUGUGUUAUGUGUGUGUUUGUGUGUUAUGUGUGUAUAUGUAUGUUAGGGAUAGGGUUUUAAAUUGGGCUUAAGCCCUCUAAUAUGAAUGGGCCGAUUUUUAUUUAAUAAAAUGUACUGGGCCCAUUUUAUUUUAAAAGCUGAUGGGUAUUUUUUUUAUUUAAUUGAUUGGGCCCAAUUUUAAUUAAUUUUGGACUGUUAAUUGAAUAAUAAAGCCUACGAAAUUUU
This 235-nucleotide long non-coding RNA is filed under the name Salvia miltiorrhiza (redroot sage). RNAcentral describes it as "long non-coding RNA (SMIL_LNC000160)". The record is from RNAcentral. Lineage: Eukaryota; Viridiplantae; Streptophyta; Magnoliopsida; Lamiales; Lamiaceae.